RNAcentral lists this ribosomal RNA (406 nucleotides) under uncultured bacterium. Its description in RNAcentral is "bacterial SSU rRNA". It matches the Rfam family "Bacterial small subunit ribosomal RNA", at positions 509 to 914 of the family's 1533-position model. The record is from RNAcentral.
CAGCAGCCGCGGUAAUACAGAGGGGGCAAGCGUUGUUCGGAAUUACUGGGCGUAAAGGGCGCGUAGGCGGCCUGUUAAGUCGAACGUGAAAUCCCCGGGCUCAACCCGGGAACUGCGUCCGAUACUGGCAGGCUUGAAUCCGGGAGAGGGAUGCGGAAUUCCAGGUGUAGCGGUGAAAUGCGUAGAUAUCUGGAGGAACACCGGUGGCGAAGGCGGCAUCCUGGACCGGCAUUGACGCUGAGGCGCGAAAGCCAGGGUAGCGAACCGGAUUAGAUACCCGGGUAGUCCUGGCCGUAAACGGUGCGAACUAGGUGUGGGGAUCCUUUGGAUCUCCGUGCCGAAGCUAACGCAUUAAGUUCGCCGCCUGGGGAGUACGGCCGCAAGGCUAAAACUCAAAGGAAUUGAC